RNAcentral lists this long non-coding RNA (475 nucleotides) under Triticum aestivum (bread wheat). RNAcentral describes it as "long non-coding RNA (TAES_LNC001495)". Lineage: Eukaryota; Viridiplantae; Streptophyta; Magnoliopsida; Poales; Poaceae. The record is from RNAcentral.
CUGCUCACCAUGGCCUUGGCCUGCGUGCGUGAGGAAGAGGGAGAGGAAGGAAAUCAAAUUGCAGUAAUAAGGUAAAAAGGGAAGAUGAGAAGGCCAUGGAAGAGGAGGAGGAGGUGGAGGAGAGGGAUCCGGUGCUGCACCUGCUUCCGCCUGCGGCUCGGUGGCCAUGCUAGCUAGGGUUUCCGACCUCCAUGUCACCGUGGAUCUGGGGGCUGCCUCACCUUCUCGCUCGAUCUGUGGAUGGGAGACAAGGUGAGGGGCGCGGGAGAGGGUGGAGCGGCGGCGUCGGGGGUAGAGGGAGACGAGGCCGGCGGCGGCGGGGUUGGGGCAGAGGAGAGGAGGAUUGGGGAAUUCGUUGGGUCUUGGGUGGGGGAGGAGGAAGACUGGAGUGUGUGCGCGGGUGUUGGGUGGAUUUUUUUAGCGUGGGUGAUAGUAGCGCGUUUUGCAAACCAGGCGCUACAGUUAUGUCUUUAGC